This 468-nucleotide ribosomal RNA is filed under the name uncultured bacterium. Its description in RNAcentral is "partial 16S ribosomal RNA". It matches the Rfam family "Bacterial small subunit ribosomal RNA", at positions 28 to 507 of the family's 1533-position model. The record is from RNAcentral.
GACGAACGCUGGCGGCGUGCUUAACACAUGCAAGUCGAACGGAAAGGCCCUGCUUUUGUGGGGUGCUCGAGUGGCGAACGGGUGAGUAACACGUGAGUAACCUGCCCUUGACUUUGGGAUAACUUCAGGAAACUGGGGCGAAUACCGGAUAGGAGCUCCUGCUGCAUGGUGGGGGUUGGAAAGUUUCGGCGGUUGGGGAUGGACUCGCGGCUUAUCAGCUUGUUGGUGGGGUAGUGGCUUACAAAGGCUUUGACGGGUAGCCGGCCUGAGAGGGUGACCGGCCACAUUGGGCCUGAGAUACGGCCCAGACGCCUACGGGCGGCAGCAGUGGGGAAUAUUGCACAAUGGGCGGAAGCCUGAUGCAGCAACGCCGCGUGCGGGAUGACGGCCUUCGGGUUGUAAACCGCUUUCGCCUGUGACGAAGAGUGAGUGACGGUAAUGGGUCAAGAAGCCCCGGCUAACUACGUG